UACGUAGGUGGCGAGCGUUGUCCGGAUUUACUGGGCGUAAAGGGAGCGUAGGUGGACUUUUAAGUGAGAUGUGAAAUACCCGGGCUCAACUUGGGUGCUGCAUUUCAAACUGGAAGUCUAGAGUGCAGGAGAGGAGAAUGGAAUUCCUAGUGUAGCGGUGAAAUGCGUAGAGAUUAGGAAGAACACCAGUGGCGAAGGCGAUUCUCUGGACUGUAACUGACGCUGAGGCUCGAAAGCGUGGGGAGCAAACAGGAUUAGAUACCCU
This 265-nucleotide ribosomal RNA is filed under the name uncultured prokaryote. RNAcentral describes it as "partial 16S ribosomal RNA". It matches the Rfam family "Bacterial small subunit ribosomal RNA", at positions 524 to 788 of the family's 1533-position model. The record is from RNAcentral.